CCCAAGAAUGCCCUUCCUAUGCUCUUUUCCAAGCCAGUGGUUCCACUCGAUGAACCUUAAAGGGAUAGUUCACCCAUUUAGAACCGGAGUUCUAUCAUUAUAAAAUCGCUAUUGUAAUGUAAAUUAAUAUAUAAAAAAUAUCAGUCUAAACCAGUCUCCCCUUGGCCCAUUUUUUCUCAUCAAAUUUUCUCCCGAAAUGACGUCAAAUGACGCGUUUGACGUCAUUUCGGGAGAAACCUCUCUUCCCGCUAGAUGGGCCGAGGACUACAACACACUUUUGGUGGCAAAUUUGCCGGAAAUUUUUCCACCAAUAAGGAAUGAGAGGGGGCGGGAGCUUGCACGCUUGCACGCUCAGCUCGCGUACUGAGGGGGAAUGAGAGGGACGGGAGACCGACACAAACCUCUGACCAUGGCAGAAGCAACAGCUGAGUUUGAAAAUAUAUUGCUGCAUUGUAAUAUUCAGGGCUAUCUGUAUGAGCCAGAAUACAGCGAGGAAGAACUGAGACGAAUUCGAGGAGGAGGCUGCUGCGGCUGCAGCUGAACAAGCCUUGCCUGUUGCCGAGGAGCCGGAUCGCGCCGCCGCCGGAGUGAACUGGUGGUGUACCUGUUUGCUCUGUUCACCUAUGGAGACUCACAAAGAGUCCCUGUGCUGCAGCGAAUUUCAGCGAUGCCAGUUUCUUCGCGAUGAAAUGGCUGAAUCUGGCGAGGAAGGGGCCGUGUGUGUAACAUCUCACCCAGGCUUUACGCCUCAUCUGAACCGUUGGGUAUUGGACACUUAUUUCCGUACCCAGAAAAUAAACUGGAAACGCCAGCCAAAGCCCGCCGGGAGAAACGGACGUCUGAGCACAGAUAUAGGCUAACAUCUUACCGGCAUUUCCUGGAGUGGAUACUGCAAGGUGAGAGACUUGGGAGAGGCAAUCGCCUUGUUUUGCCAGCGUGUGUUGUCCAGGCCAUCAGGGCUAAUUACCCAACACAAGAUGGGCAGUACCGUGGCUACCAGGAGACGGUAGAUGCCCAAGAUGAGCUGUGAUAUUUAGCAAACUCACCAUACGUUUUGUUUUUGUAUAUAGAUUAUAUUUUAUGAAUAAAACUUCAAAUUCAUGUUGGUUGUUGUGAUUUGUUUACUAUACCAAAUGAUGUUACACUAAAGUAGGCCUGCUGUAUAAGAUGAACACUUAUUUCAACUGGGGAGAAAAGGUUUACAUAUAGCCUACUUGAUAUGCUGAAAUACUGUAAUUAGCAAAUGUUUGAUGUACAGUAAUAUACAAAUGAUACCUAAAAUAAUUAUAAAUCUAUUCUUGCU
Molecule: long non-coding RNA, 1303 nt
Filed under: Gadus morhua (Atlantic cod)
Lineage: Eukaryota; Metazoa; Chordata; Actinopteri; Gadiformes; Gadidae
Description: lncRNA (ENSGMOG00000036934.1)
Source: RNAcentral